This 452-nucleotide ribosomal RNA is filed under the name uncultured bacterium. RNAcentral describes it as "bacterial SSU rRNA". It matches the Rfam family "Bacterial small subunit ribosomal RNA", at positions 339 to 794 of the family's 1533-position model. The record is from RNAcentral.
AUACGGGAGGCAGCAGUGGGGAAUUUUGCGCAAUGGGCGAAAGCCUGACGCAGCAACGCCGCGUGGAGGAUGAAGGCCUUCGGGUCGUAAACUCCUGUCAGUGGGGACGAAUGCUUCGCAAGAAGUUUGACUGUACCCGCUGAGGAAGCCACGGCUAACUCCGUGCCAGCAGCCGCGGUAAUACGGAGGUGGCAAGCGUUGUUCGGAAUUACUGGGCGUAAAGGGCGCGUAGGCGGCUUUGCAAGUCAGAUGUGAAAUCCCCGGGCUUAACUCGGGAAUUGCAUCUGAAACUGCUUAGCUUGAGUCCUGGAUGGGAUAGUGGAAUUCCCAGUGUAGCGGUGAAAUGCGUAGAUAUUGGGAGGAACACCUGCGGCGAAGGCGGCUAUCUGGACAGUGACUGACGCUGAGGCGCGAAAGCUAGGGGAGCGAACGGGAUUAGAUACCCCGGUAGG